RNAcentral lists this ribosomal RNA (301 nucleotides) under uncultured bacterium. Its description in RNAcentral is "partial 16S ribosomal RNA". It matches the Rfam family "Bacterial small subunit ribosomal RNA", at positions 510 to 807 of the family's 1533-position model. The record is from RNAcentral.
AGUAGCCGCCACGGUAAUACGAAGGGUGCAAGCGUUACUCGGAAUUACUGGGCGUAAAGCGUGCGUAGGUGGUUGUUUAAGUCUGCUGUGAAAGCCCUGGGCUCAACCUGGGAAUUGCAGUGGAUACUGGGCGACUAGAGUAAGGUAGAGGAUAGUGGAAUUUCCGGUGUAGCAGUGAAAUGCGUAGAGAUCGGAAGGAACAUCUGUGGCGAAGGCGACUAUCUGGGCCAUUACUGACACUGAGGCACGAAAGCGUGGGGAGCAAACAGGAUUAGAUACCCGCGUAGUCCCUGUCUCUUAU